RNAcentral lists this small RNA (113 nucleotides) under Marmota monax (woodchuck). Lineage: Eukaryota; Metazoa; Chordata; Mammalia; Rodentia; Sciuridae. The record is from RNAcentral.
GCUUGAACAUGGUGAGUACCUGUAGUCCCAGCUACAGGGAGGCUGAGGCAGGAGGAUUGCUUGAGCCUGGGAGUUUGCACUCAGCCCACAAAAAAAGUGAGAUUCUGUCUCUC